AAGCCAAUCAGUGGAUGGCUCGGUUCGAGUGCCGAUGAAGGGCGUGCCAAGCUGCGAUAAGCUCCGGGUAGACGCAAGGAGUCUAUGAUCCGGAGAUUCCCUAAUGGGACAUCCUGCUUCGAAAGAAGCGAUCCAGAUUUGGAUCGGGAACCCCCCGAAUUGAAACAUCUCAGUAGGGGGAGGAAGAGAAAUCAAUCGAGAUGUCGUGAGUAAAGGCGAUCGAAAACGACACAGUUCAAACCGAAUCCCGCAAGGGACAUGUGGUGUUGAUAAGCCUCCCGGAAAGACAGACCAUCCUAAGCGGAAAUUUCUCUGGAAUGGGAUACCGCAGAGGGUGACAGUCCCGUACGUAUACGGAUGAUCUGUCUGGGGAGUGUCUUGAGUAGCGUGGGUUGGAAUUCUCGCGUGAAUCCGGGGAUCAUCAAUCUCCAAAACUAAAUACUACUCGAAACCGAUAGCGCAUUAGUAGCGUGAGCGAAAGCUGAAAAGUAACCCUGAAAAGGUGGUUAAAAGUGCCUGAAACUGAUUGGUGAUAGUGUGUUGCGGUGUGAAAGGAUCUCCUGGGCGAAAGAACCCGUCGCGAGGCGGCAGUAUGGGCUCAGGUGCCAGCAUCGUAACUUACGUUUUGAAGAACGGGCCAGAGAGUUUAUUCUGUUGGCGAGGUUAACCGGUAAGGGAAGCCUAAGCGAAAGCAACAAGUCCGUAGGCUUCGGCCAUGGGACGGCGUAUUAAAAGUGCGUGGAGUCGACAGGAUAAGACCCGAAGCCCAGUGAUCUAUGCGUGGGCAGGCUGAAGGGUGACGAAAGUUGCGUGGAGGGCCGUAGCGGUAUUGAUAUGCAAAUCAUUCGUGUGACCUGCGUAUAGGGGUGAAAGGCCAAUCGAACUGGGCAUCAGCUGGUUCCUCUCGAAACAUGCCGUAGCAUGACCUGGCCAGAGAUAGACGGUGAGGUAGAGCACUGAUUGGGGAAGUUGGGGGAGAAAUCCCUCACUCUCCUGUCAAACUCCGAAUUCCCCGUCGUCGUAGAAGGCCGGUAGUCCGCACUACGGGGUAAGCUUGUAGUGCGUAAGGGAGACAACCCAGACUGUGGUUAAUGUCCCCAAGUGUAGGUUAAGUGUCAACACUAAAAGAUGUCCUGGGCCAAAGACAACUGGAAGGUGAGCUUAGAAGCAGCUAUCCUUUAAAAAGUGCGUAACAGCUUACCAGUCGAGGUUCAGGGCGCUGAAAAUGGACGGGGCUAAAACCUACCACAGAUACCACAGACCACCGCAAGGUGAUGGCGUAGAGAGGCGCUCUGCAUGGGCGGAAGCAGGGCCGUGAGGUCCUGUGGACCGUGUAGAAUUGAGAAUUCUGGCAUUAGUAGAAGCAUAGUGUGGUGAGAAUCCACACCGCCGAAGGGGCUAGGUUUCCUCGACAAUGUUCGUCAGUCGAGGGUUAGUCGGUCCUAAGUUGUACCGUAACUCGAGUACAGCGAAAGGGAAACAGGUUAAUAUUCCUGUACCAUCUGAUUGUAGUCAAUUUAUUGACCCUGACGUUUUGGGAUAUGCUUUGCAGGGCCGUCGCCCUGUCCAAGCGUCGAAACCCUUGGAGAACCGUAAUGGUGAGAAUUGGGCGAAUGCGUGAUGGAGUAAUAAGGCAAACUCCUGGAACCCGUGAAAAGGGAAUCAGAUGUCCGUACCGAGAUCUGACACAGGUGCCCCUAGCUGAGUAGGCUAAGGCGUGUCGGUUUAAUUGUGUUUAGGGAAUUCGGCAAAAUAGCCCCGUACCUUUGGUAGAAGGGGUGCCUGCCCAGAGAUUGGGCAGGUCGCAGUGACCAGGGGGCUCCGACUGUCUAAUAACAACAUAGCAGACUGCAACUCCGUAAGGACUAGUAUAGUCUGUGAUUCCUGCCCAGUGCAGGUAUCUGAAAACCGGGUACAACCGGACGAAGGACCUGUAAACGGCGGGGGUAACUAUGACCCUCUUAAGGUAGCGUAGUACCUUGUCGCUUAAUUGGCGACUUGCAUGAAUGGAUUAACGAGAGCCCUACUGUCCCAAACACAAGUCCGUUGAACAUUUUAUCCUAGUGCAAAGGCUAGGGACUCCUUAUGGGAAGUGAAGACCCCGUGGAGCUUUACUGCAGCCUGUCGUUGUGUUACGGUAUUCAUUGCGCAGAGUAGAUGGGAGAUGUCGAUCCAACCCUCGUGGGGGUUGGGGAGUCGCAAUCUGAGACACCAUCCUUUGUUUACUGUAACACUCACUCAGUAGAGGACACCGAUAGGUGGGCAGUUUGGGUGGGGCGCCACACCCUCGAAAAGAUAUCAAGGGUGCCCCAAGGUCAACUCAUGUGAGUCAGAAACUCACAGAAGAGUGUCAAGAGCAAAAGUUGGCCUGACGCUGAUACGCAUAGCAAGUAUCUGCGAGAGGAAACUCGGGUCUAACGAACCAAUACGCCCUGUUGAUGAGGGCUAUUGACGACAGAAAAGCUACCCCGGGGAUAACAGAGUCGUCGCCGGCAAGAGCACAUAUCGACCCGGCGGCUUGCUACCUCGAUGUCGGUUCUUUCCAUCCUGGCUGUGCAGCAGCAGCCAAGGGUGAGGUUGUUCGCCUAUUAAAGGGGAUCGUGAGCUGGGUUUAGACCGUCGUGAGACAGGUCGGUUACUAUCUAUAAGGAGUGUGAGAAGUCUGAAGGUAAGACGGAAAUAGUACGAGAGGAACUUUCCGUCGUCGCCACUGGUAGACCGGUUGUCCGACAGGGCAAUGCCGGGUGGCUACGCGAUAAUGGAUAAAAGCUGAAAGCAUCUAAGCUUGAAACCAGACCUAAAACGAGACUUCGCUAUAGGGCAUGGAUAAAAGAUCCGUUUGAUAGGCUCGGGAUGUACGCACGAAGGUAACGACGUGUUCAGUCCACGAGUACUAACGCCCAAAUCAGCUC
RNAcentral lists this ribosomal RNA (2912 nucleotides) under sediment metagenome. Its description in RNAcentral is "bacterial LSU rRNA". It matches the Rfam family "Archaeal large subunit ribosomal RNA". The record is from RNAcentral.